UACAGAGGUCUCAGGCGUUGUUCGGAUUCAUUGGGCGUAAAGGGUGCGUAGGUGGCGGGGUAAGUCAGGUGUGAAAUCUCGGGGCUCAACCCCGAAACUGCACUUGAUACUGCCUUGCUCGAGUACUGGAGAGGAGAUUGGAAUUUACGGUGUAGCAGUGAAAUGCGUAGAUAUCGUAAGGAAGACCAGUGGCGAAGGCGAAUCUCUGGACAGUUACUGACACUGAGGCACGAAGGCCAGGGGAGCAAACGGG
This 253-nucleotide ribosomal RNA is filed under the name uncultured bacterium. RNAcentral's name for it is "partial 16S ribosomal RNA". It matches the Rfam family "Bacterial small subunit ribosomal RNA", at positions 524 to 776 of the family's 1533-position model. The record is from RNAcentral.